GAGGUGGCUGCCGUCAGGUAGGGCUGAAUCAGACAGCUAACCUUACAUCUUCUUUCUUCACCUGGAAGAUCACCCUUCCAUCCCUCCCCAAAACCCGAAGACCUGAUCUCCGCGGAUAGAAGUCCGUGAGGGCAGUCCUUUUUUGUUGUUGUGUUUGUGGUUUGUUUUGUUAUUUAUUUUUUUUUCCUUGCAGCCUGCCUCUCUGUUACAGGGGCUGAGCAAGUCGGGGACAAGUACGUGAGUGGAGAGGGGAGAGAAAUGCAGAUGCCCAUUGCGCUUUGCAUUAACUUUUCCCUUAGCCGGGCCCGUUUCCCUCCAGCCGAGAGCUGGUGCGCAGCAGCAGUUCUCAUGUCUGUCUGUCUGUCUGUCCGCUGCUGGCCUGGGCUGCGUGUUACCUCCGUCCGUCCCCAUCCCUUUCCUCAGCCUCCAGCCAAACAAAGGGAGAGAGGAAAAAAGCAGCCCAGGAAGUGUAAAGUGGAAAGCGACCCUCUUCCUAUUUGACGACAGCGCCAAUUCCUCCGGGAUCCCACCUGAGAUUAAAGCCCGAAUUUCAAUAAAUCAGCUCUAAUGAAACCUCUGGCCCCGAAGAGGGAAGGGUUUGCCUUUCCCGCUCCGAAAUGAGCAGAGAAACCAGGAGCGGGGGGUGGGGAGAAGAAGGAGUAAAUAUAGAAGGGGGUGUGAGAUUUUAAUCCCAGCGGGCUCAUUAGCAUCGUUAUGAAAUAAACCAUACACGGAGUGAUGUA
Cyanistes caeruleus (blue tit) is the source of this 743-nucleotide long non-coding RNA. RefSeq lists it as uncharacterized. The record is from RefSeq and is a predicted model, not a curated record. Lineage: Eukaryota; Metazoa; Chordata; Aves; Passeriformes; Paridae.